CUUCGGGCGGAAGCCAAAAGGUGCCUCGUGAGGGAAUGCGUGCUCGUAUUCCNNNNNNNNNNNNNNNNNNNNACUUAAGCACAUGACACUUCAGAGUUUUGCCCGAUGUGGAAUUUUUUAAGGGAGGUCCCCCCGCGGCUUGCCCACAACAGGCUCCCCACUCUGGAGAGUCAUGUGCUCUCCUUUCAGAAGGGCAUGUGCCGCGGACAGGGGGUGGGUGGCUUCUUCCUGGCACGCCGCUGAUGUGUCCACGUGUCAAGGGUCGUCGAAGGCAUCGUCUCGGACCUCUCUUCAGGGAUGCCGCCAACCGGCGCACGUGCACCCAGAGUCACGGUUUUGUCCCUCGGACGGAAGCCAAAAGGCACCUCGUGAGGGAAUGCGUGCUCGUAUCCCACUUAAGCACAUGACACUUCAGAGUUUCAGAGUUUUGCCCGACGUAGAAAUUUUUAAGGGAGGUCCCCCCGCGGCCUGCCCACAACACAGCCCCCCACUCUGGAGAGUCAUGUGCUCUCCUUUUGGAAGGGCAUGUGCCACGGACAGGGGGCGGGUGGCCCCUACCUGGCGCGCCACUGAUGUGUCCUCAUGUCAAGGGUCGUCGGAGGCAUCGCCUCGGACCUCACGAAGUAUUGUCCGCUCUCCCCAGGGACGUCGCCAACCGGCGCACGUGUAUCCGAAGUCACGGUUUUGCCCUUCGGGCGGAAGCCAAAAGGCGCCUCGUGAGGGAAUGCGUGCUCGUAUCCCNNNNNNNNNNNNNNNNNNNNGGGAAUGCGUGCUCGUAUCCCACUUAAGCACAUGACACUUCAGAGUUUUGCCCAAUGUGGGACUUUUUAAGGGAGGUCCCCCCGCGGCCUGCCCACAACACAGCCCCUCACUCUGGAGAGUCAUGUGCUCUCUUUUCGGAAGGGCAUGUGCCGUGGACAGGGGGCGGGUGGCCCCUACCUGGCGCGCCACUGAUGUGUCCACAUGUCAAGGGUCGUCGGAGGCAUCGCCUCGAACCUCACGAAGUAUUGUCCGCUCUCUCCAGGGACGUCGCCAAUCGGCGCACGUGCAUCCGAAGUCACGAUUUUGCCCUUCGGGCGGAAGCCAAAAGGCGCCUCAUGAGGGAAUGCGUGCUCGUAUCCCACUUAAGCAUAUGACACUUCAGAGUUUUAUCCGAUGUGGGACUUUUUAAGGGAGGUCCCCCCGCGGCUUGCCCACAACACAGCCCCCCACUUUGGAGAGUCAUGUGCUCUCCUUUCGGAAGGGCAUGUGCCGCAGACAAGGGGCGAGUGGCCCUUACCUGGCGCGCCACUGAUGUGUCCACGUGUCAAGGGUCGUCGGAGGCAUCGUCUCGGACCUCACGAAGUAUUGUCCGCUCUCUCCAGGGACGCCGCCAACCAGCGCACGUGCACCCGGAGUCACAGUUUUGCCCUUCGGACGGAAGCCAAAAGGCACCUCGUGAGGGAAUGCGUGCUCGUAUCCCACUUAAGCACAUGACACUUCAGAGUUUUGCCCGAUGUGGGACUUUUUAAGGGAGGUCCCCCUGCGGCCUGCCCACAACAGGACUUUUCUUGAUGAGAGGACCUAAAAUUUGAAUGGAGUCUAGGAUUAUGAUGAUGUGGACUGUCUAGGUCGGUUGUUUUGUGAAUUAGGGG
This 1634-nucleotide long non-coding RNA is filed under the name Elaeis guineensis (African oil palm). Its description in RNAcentral is "long non-coding RNA (EGUI_LNC022524)". Lineage: Eukaryota; Viridiplantae; Streptophyta; Magnoliopsida; Arecales; Arecaceae. The record is from RNAcentral.